This is a long non-coding RNA of Oxyura jamaicensis (ruddy duck), 2596 nucleotides long. RefSeq lists it as uncharacterized. The transcript has 4 exons. The record is from RefSeq and is a predicted model, not a curated record. Lineage: Eukaryota; Metazoa; Chordata; Aves; Anseriformes; Anatidae.
CCUCCACCAUAACUCAGUUGUUCCUCAGCAGGAGGUGAUGGAAGUCCCUUACACCUUAUUUUUAUGUUGGGAACCUUUCAGAUUGCAUUUAGAUCAUGUAUUUACCAGUUUGCUUGUCAAGGUUUUGAAGCAGGGACAGUCUACUUUGAAGCAGUAUGACAAACUAGCAUGACCGACCUCUGUUCUGGAUUAGUCCAAGUCAGCAGUGCUAUCUGCAUGCUGCAAGACCACAGGCAGGAAGGGAAGAAGGAGCUCAAAUCCUUGCAACCGCAGGUACGGUAAGACCACACAGCACUUGUAGGUGAUCCAUAUACCUUCCUGGAGAGGAAAUCAGAACACUUCCCAGGACUCAGCUGUGGCCUGUCUUUGAGGAGCCAAAAGAAGGUGAAAAACACCCCCAGAACGCAUCUUGCUAACUGUGCAUCAGAGGGAAAUAUCCUGCCUAACCCCUGUGGGCAGCCAGCUGAAGCCCUGGAGCAUGAGACUUUAUUUUAACACCAGGAUGUCUUCCAGAAAGGAAAUGGGGGAGGACAACAGGAUGGAAAGAUGAAGUAUGAAAACACAUCACUGUUUCAAUUCCAAGUAAAUCUGCCACCUUCCAACUCCUGCAUGCUAUGCAGGAGAUUUAUAGGAUAGGUAUUUUCAAAUAUCACACUCAGAGGUAAAAUCAUGUUAUAAACUCCCUGCCUCUUUUUCCAUCCCUAUCCAACAUUUCCUAUUCAGCAGCAGCAGAAGGAACUUCUAACAAAGAACAUAAAACAAGGUAGAUUAAGCCCACUGAGAUUAUGGUAUCAUGAGAAAUAAACAUAGCAGAAAACUGGAAAAUAAGAGAGCAAACUCGGCUCAUUAAGAGACAGCAAAGCAAGCAUUAAUUUGAAAGUGAGGAAGAAUAAGCCAGGUUAUUCCAUAUGUGAGGGAAUAAAUAUUAACAAUGCUGACAACAUUUUUAGGUGGACUAACAAGGGCAAAGGAGCAGAAAACUAGUAGUGAAUGAGGGGUAAGUAAGCAUAUUUUAUGGAUAGAGGGAGAUGAAGCAUUGUGUCAGCAUGAGUUACCUAGAGAAGAAAGAUGAAAAACAUGACUCAUUCACUAUUUGUAGAAGUAUUUUCCAAGUAUUUGGAAACAGACACCAUAGUUCCAGCAUUUAGCAAAUAAAGAUUCUAGAAGAUAGGUUGACAUUAUCCUCCUAAAAGACUAACACCUACAUUUUUAAAGCCCUUUGAGAUAUUUAUGACUAGCCAGGGGGUGCACUUGGAAAUGUGAAAUUUAAUUAGUGAGUCACUACAGAAUUAUGAGGCGUAAAUCAGGUCAGAUUCAUUUUUAUGCAGUAGCUGUUGGUCUUGAUUCAGGUGAGGAACCAAGAGAUCCAACCUAGUAAAUAUUCAGGGAUAUUUGUCUUUUAGUCAGGUUUCAUGUGGACUGGACUGCUGAAUAAUCCACUUCAUUCAUUAACAGUAAUUUUAAGAAAUGAGCCUGAUUCUGUAGUCGGCACACUCAAAAGCCCAUAGAUUAUUGCCCCUGGGAAAGUUUUCUAUCUUAAGCAUGGGAGCAAGGAGGUGGAAACCUAGAUGUGGAGGGUUUGUAUCCUGUUCUGGAGCUGGAGAGCAGGAGGGCACUGAGAGGGCUCUACCCUCAUCCAUCACUGAGCACCUGCAUCAGCUAGAGCUUCACCGUACCUUGUGCUGCACUCUCCAGAAAAGGCUCUACCAGCACUUUUCCAAAGGUGGAUGCACACACAGGCAAGAGGAGCUGGGAAAGGCUUGGUGAUUUAUCUCAAGUUACACAGCAAGUGUUUGGAUUUGUGCUGGGGCAGUAGACGUGGUUUGGCCAAUGGAAAUGAGGUCCUCAAGCCAUCAGCAGAUUUCAAAGAGGUGCUCGUGAUUAUAAAGGUCAUUCUCAGUGCUAGCAUCAUUCCUACUCUGCAGCAGCAGAAUUUCUUCCCUGAAUCCCUCCUGUGCUUCUAGCUCCUUUUAAUGUGAAAAAUCAUUUGAUUUUAUUCUUAUCUUCAGAAAUACUCAUCUCUGCUCCUGUAUUCCCUGUGCUCACCCAUCUUUUCAUCUCCUUCCAUCAGUCAGUCCCUGAUCAUCCUUGCAGGUCCUGCCUCCUGUUCUCUGUUCAGAGUAGAACAACAUUAAAGAAGGCUAGCAGGUACUUGUUUGCAACACGGAGAGCAUGCUUUAUAAAUCCAAGCCCUUGAAAGAGUGAAAUGGAAUUAGCAUCCAAUCACAUUGUGCUGUGGCUGUCUGCUAUCAAAAAGGAAAGUAUAUGAAAUAUCUAAACAAGACAAGGGCUAUUUCAGCUCUUUACAUGUUUCCAUUCAAAACUUUGCACUGAGUACAGCAACUGAGAAUUAAAUGACUGCUCAAAGAAUUCAGCUAUUGUUCAACUUCUUCAUUUAACGCAACUGAUAGUGGUUGCUAUAUGUUUAUAUGCUUAUGCAUUCUUCUUUUUUUCUUUUUGACCAGAAACACAGACAAAAAUGUUCCACCCAGAACAUUUUAUUGUUUUAAAGUAAGGGCAAUGGUGCUCAAGCUGAAGCCUGAAAUCGUAUUAGUCAAGUUUUAAAAACAUGUUCAACUUGGUGAUCUAAAGGAAG